GUUCUUGAGGUGCAGGCUUUGAGAAUGAUCUGAUGCAUGAGACCCUGCUGAUUUAUCUGUCGCAUGAAGCAAAUACCAAAAUUUUAAUGGAUCAUGAGAUUCUGAGAUUUGCCAUUUUAUUGAGUUGACUGCAGUCAUGUUAUAAAUCCUACCACUGUGUCUGUUUUGGACACAGUAUAUAUUGCAUUAGGAUUUAGCUGGCUGUAACAAAUCAGGGUGUAUGCAGGAAUUUUGAAGUUACAUUAAAUACAUUUAAGGCCUUUUUUAAGACACUAAUCAGACAUUUUAAGACCUAAUCACCACUUUGUUCUAACCAUCAGUAACACAGUGUAACUUACAUUUAUGAUACAUUGAUACAUACCAUAUUUUAGACAUGGCAUAAAAUACAUGCAUUAUAUAUAGUCAUCCGCAGUCUGUACUUAUAGUAAAGCAUGGCAGGAAAAUAUAAAAAUGUCACAGUUAAGUAUUCUCUUCAAAAGUCAAAAUAUGGUAUGGCAUGUAGAUAUUAGAAAAAUGUCAAAGUAUACUAUGACGUAACUAUUUUUUUUCUAAAUGUCUAACAUAAAAUUGUAAAGAAAGCAUAUAGAGUAUAGUAUGGCAUUAAAACAGCAAAAAUAUAAUAUUCCAUUAAAAUAUUUAAACAAUUUCAUGAAAUAGUGUGACAAACAUAAAAAUAGUAUACUGUGGCAUGAAAUAAAUAAAAAUGUCAGUAUAGUGUGACAUAAAAAUAUCAUAGUAUAGUAUGGCAUAGAAAUAUUGUACCAAAUGUCAUAGUGUAGUGUGGCAUAAAAAUAUCAUAAAAAGUGGCAUAGUAUAGUAUGGCAUGAAAAUAUCAUAUAAAGUGCCAUAGUGUAGUAUGGCAUUAAAGUAUCAUAAAACGUGCCAUAGUAUAGUAUGGCAUAAAAAAUAUCAUAAAAAGUGUCAUAGUACACUAUGGCAUAAAAAUAUCAUAAAAAGUGCCAUAGUAUAUUAUGGCAUAAAAAUGUCAUAAAAAGUGUCAUAGUAUAGUAUGGCAUAAAUAUAUCUUAAAAGGUGUCAUAGUAUAGUAUGGCAUGAACAUAUCAUAAAAAGUGUCAUAGUAUGGCAUAAAAAUAUAAAAAGUGUCAUAGUAUAGUAUGGUAUAAAAUUAUCAUAAAAAGUGCCAUAGUAUAGUAUGGCAUAAAAAUAUCAUAAAAAGUGUCAUAGUAUAGUAUGGCAUAAAAAUAUCAUAAAAAGUGUCAUAGUAUAGUAUAGCAUAAAAUUAUCAUAAAACGUGCCAUAAUACAGUAUGGCAUAAAAAUAUCAUAAAAAAUGUCAUAGUAUAGUAUGGCAUAAAAAUUUCAUAAAAAGUGCCAUAGUAUAGUAUGGCAUAAAAAUAUCAUAA
Long non-coding RNA from Epinephelus moara (kelp grouper), 1363 nucleotides. RefSeq lists it as uncharacterized. NCBI's taxonomy places the organism in Eukaryota, Metazoa, Chordata, Actinopteri, Perciformes, Serranidae. The record is from RefSeq and is a predicted model, not a curated record. The transcript has 2 exons.